UCAGAGGGAGCUAAGGGGAGAUCAAUAUUUUCUACACCAUUUAAAAUCAUGGAUCUCGGCAGAACUCGAUGCAUACUACCCCUAUUCAGAUCGUGUGGAAGGAAGUUACAAUUAAGUUUGAAAAAGCAUUUUGGAAAUUUACCUCAGAAUGUCAGUGCCCAAACUCUCGUGGGGCUUAUAAAUGGUUGAGCCAUUGAAGCAUCUCUCAGAAGACGAUCAUUGAGUUGACAAAGAAAGUCAUAGAGUGUAUAGCUAUCUCCUCAAACUACUUUACAUACUAAAAAAGUCAACG
Molecule: long non-coding RNA, 292 nt
Filed under: Panax ginseng (ginseng)
Lineage: Eukaryota; Viridiplantae; Streptophyta; Magnoliopsida; Apiales; Araliaceae
Description: long non-coding RNA (PGIN_LNC000419)
Source: RNAcentral